Molecule: ribosomal RNA, 433 nt
Filed under: Sphingomonas sp. 'ARUP UnID 603'
Lineage: Bacteria; Pseudomonadati; Pseudomonadota; Alphaproteobacteria; Sphingomonadales; Sphingomonadaceae
Description: bacterial SSU rRNA
Rfam family: Bacterial small subunit ribosomal RNA
Source: RNAcentral
GAAUGAACGCUGGCGGCAUGCCUAACACAUGCAAGUCGAACGAUGCUUUCGGGCAUAGUGGCGCACGGGUGCGUAACGCGUGGGAAUCUGCCCUUAGGUUCGGAAUAACAGUUGGAAACGACUGCUAAUACCGGAUGAUGACGUAAGUCCAAAGAUUUAUCGCCUGAGGAUGAGCCCGCGUAGGAUUAGGUAGUUGGUGUGGUAAAGGCGCACCAAGCCGACGAUCCUUAGCUGGUCUGAGAGGAUGAUCAGCCACACUGGGACUGAGACACGGCCCAGACUCCUACGGGAGGCAGCAGUGGGGAAUAUUGGACAAUGGGCGAAAGCCUGAUCCAGCAAUGCCGCGUGAGUGAUGAAGGCCUUAGGGUUGUAAAGCUCUUUUACCCGGGAUGAUAAUGACAGUACCGGGAGAAUAAGCUCCGGCUAACUCCGU